AAAUAAAUAAAUAAAACAAAAACAAAAGAUGGCAAAAUAAUUAUGCAUAUUUGUAUUUAAUUUUAUUUAAUUAAUAUUUUACUACUAAUGUAAAAACGAACAAAUUUUAUUAAACUAGGUUUAUUAUUUGUUUAGUGCAAGAAAAAUGUAUUAACACGAUACACCAACAUAAUUUAAGGGGACCCAUACAAAUAUAUUUAUAUAACUUUUUUUUCCUUUCUUUAUUUUGUUCUUUUGUUUAAAUACGAUGAUAGCAUGUCAUAAAGGCUAUAUGUAUGUCACGCAAGUGCUUAUGUUUUAAUCGUUGCAACAAAUGGUAAAUGCAUGUCAUUCAUAUAUAUGUAUGUAUUUAUUUACUACUUUUUUUAAAAAUAUUUUUGAAACCGACAUCAGACUAAAUUGACAGGACACAAAACUUUAAAGUUAAUAAACUACUUAGAUUAUAAAUACCUCAUAAAUGUUUAUACAUGUACUUACGUUUGUAUGUGCACAUAAUUACAUAUUACUUAUGUGUAUAUAUAAUUUCGAAAUAAUGGAUAAUGGUUAAAAUUAUAUUUAUGAUAAUAUUUUAUUACUUUCAUUUAAAGUCAUUUACACUACAUAAGAGCACACACAGUCAUCAUGAGCACAUUAAUUCUUGUGUUUUUUUUGAUAAUAAAGUAAAAAUAGCUUACAUAAAUAUAUCUUUAAAAAAUAAAAAAAUAUUAAAAAAACAAAAACAAAUUAACAAAAACCAAGGUAUGUUCAGUACACAACUGAAGCUAUAUGAUAAUACAGAAAACGAAAAUAUAUAUAUUUUAUUAAACAACGAGUUAAAUAACAUUUUCAAAAAGAUUGUUAAAAAUGAAAAUGUUAACAUACCUCCACAUUGUUUAAUAGAAAACAAUAAAAUACAUGAAUCUUAUGAAUGUCAGAGUAGCUUAAUACCUUUUUUAGUAAACUAUACAAAACAAAACAUAAAUAAUAUUAAAAACGAUGUAGUUAAUCAUUUAAAUCAAUAUUGUUCACAAUUUAUAAAAUCUUUACUUAUAUCACAUAAUGGUGUUUUAAAUAUAAAAAUAAAACAGGACUACAUAAUUAAAAGGUUUCUUCUAUUUUAUGAAUUAAAUGUGUUAAACAAAAAAAAUAGCAAAAUUAAAGAAAUAAAGAAAAUAAAAAAUGUAGAACAGGAAUGUACAAAAGAUGUGACAAAAGUAACACCACAAAAGCAAAUUAUUUUGUUAGAUUAUUGUGGUGUUAACAUGGGUAAACAUAUGCACUUAGGACAUUUAAAAUCUUUAUUUUUAGGAUAUUCGUUAAGUAAUUUUUUUCGUUAUAAUAAUUAUAUUGUAAAAAAUAGAAGUCAUAUCGGAGAUUGGAAUUUAAAUAUAGCUACAAUAAUCACUUUUUUUAUUUUAUUUCCUAUACAUGAAAAUACUAAUGUUUUAAAUAAGUUUUAUCCACAUAGUUAUAUAAAUAAAAACAAAAUAUAUAAAAAAAGGGAAGAACAUACUAAUACCAACGAUUCUGAAAAACAGGAUGUUGGUAAUUCAUCUAUAAAUACAUACACAAACCAAGUUACUUGUAACAUUAAUUCAGACGCUCUUAAAAAAGACAAUAAUCAACAAUAUGAAGAAAUUGUUAAUUUUUAUUUGGACCUGUUAAAAAAAAUAAAUGAAGAUAAUUUUAAUAAUAAGUACAGAAAUUUCCUUAUGAGUAAGUAUGAACAAAAUAUAAAUGUUGAUACUAUUGAUUAUGUAUAUAAAAUAUCAAAACAACUUUAUUCGUUGUCAGAUGUUUUUCAAAAAUGUUGCAAAAUUAGUUUAUCAUUGAUGUAUGAAAGAAGCCAACAAAUUAUGAAUAUUUGGAAUAGCAUAUGUAGUAAAACAAAAAAGGAAAAUGAAGAAAUAUUUAAAACAUUUGGGAUCAAAAAGUUAAUAGAAAAGGGUGAACAUUUUUACGUAAAAUAUGUUCCUACCAUUUUAAAAAAAAUGAAAGUAGCAAAUAUCCUUUUUGAAUUUAAGGAUAAAUUAUUUGUUUUAUUAAAAGAAAAAAAAUAUAAUGUGUGAACAAAAUAAAAACAGCUGUAAAAAUAACA
Molecule: long non-coding RNA, 2077 nt
Organism: Piliocolobus tephrosceles (Ugandan red Colobus)
Lineage: Eukaryota; Metazoa; Chordata; Mammalia; Primates; Cercopithecidae
Source: Ensembl